ACUGCUUAAACCCUGAACCUUCCUUCCUCCAAAACAACAGCAUCCAGAUAUUACACUCUCACACAAGUCUGUUGGGCGAGUCCUAGAAAAGUUCAGGCUGCAGUGGAUGAAAACAGCCUGCUUUUUCCGGAGGAGACGAAACAUCAACGGCUGAGCACCGAGGAUGGAGAGAAGAGGUGAAGAUGAGGGGAGGAAAACAAAAGGGAGAACAGAGAGGAGUUGGGGCGGAGGCAGAAAGAGAAAUCAGAAGAGACAAGGUUCACUGGAGCUGGCAGCUUGGCUCUUGAUCUCUUCCUCCUGCUGCUGCUGCUCCUCCUCCUUCUUCUGUGGAGGGCUGGAAUCAACGCUGGAGGGUUUCGGCGGGCUCUCGCCUCCCAUGCUGCUUCUGGG
This is a long non-coding RNA of Oreochromis aureus, 390 nucleotides long. RefSeq lists it as uncharacterized. Lineage: Eukaryota; Metazoa; Chordata; Actinopteri; Cichliformes; Cichlidae. The transcript has 3 exons. The record is from RefSeq and is a predicted model, not a curated record.